This 484-nucleotide ribosomal RNA is filed under the name uncultured bacterium. Its description in RNAcentral is "partial 16S ribosomal RNA". It matches the Rfam family "Bacterial small subunit ribosomal RNA", at positions 30 to 507 of the family's 1533-position model. The record is from RNAcentral.
AUUGAACGCUGGCGGCAGGCCUAACACAUGCAAGUCGAACGGCUGAACAGAGCUUGCUCCUGGAUUCAGCGGCGGACGGGUGAAUAGUGCCUAGGAAUCUGCCUGUUAGUGGUGGCUAACGUCCGGAAACGGGCACUCAUACCCCAUACGUCCUUAGGACCUACGUGGGAGAUCUUCGGACCUCCCGCUCUCACGUGAGCCUAGGUCGGAUUAGCUAGUUGGUGGGGUAAAGGCCUACCAAGGCGACGAUCCGUAACUGGUCUGAGAGGAUGAUCAGUCACACUGGAACUGAGACACGGUCCAGACUCCUACGGGAGGCAGCAGUGGGGAAUAUUGGACAAUGGGCGAAAGCCUGAUCCAGCCAUGCCGCGUGUGUGAAGAAGGUCUUCGGAUUGUAAAGCACUUUAAGUUGGGAGGAAGAGCAGUAAGUUAAUACCUCGCUGUUUUGACGGUACCAACAGAAUAAGCACCGGCUAACUUCGUG